UCAAAGAAAAAAAAAGAAUAUAAAUCGUCCCUCCUCUCUGCGUAUCCUCCCCGGUCUCUCUCUCCCCGCAGCCUGAUGUCUCUUGUCAAGUCUCGCCGGACUCUCCCGCCUCUCCUCUCCGCCGUAUCUCUCUCUCUGUGCCUCUCCUUUCGCAGCCCUCGCCUCAGUCUCGCCGGACUCUCCCGCCUCUCCUCUCCGC
Molecule: long non-coding RNA, 199 nt
Filed under: Brassica napus (rape)
Lineage: Eukaryota; Viridiplantae; Streptophyta; Magnoliopsida; Brassicales; Brassicaceae
Description: long non-coding RNA (BNAP_LNC012236)
Source: RNAcentral